RNAcentral lists this long non-coding RNA (6537 nucleotides) under Panax ginseng (ginseng). RNAcentral describes it as "long non-coding RNA (PGIN_LNC007031)". Lineage: Eukaryota; Viridiplantae; Streptophyta; Magnoliopsida; Apiales; Araliaceae. The record is from RNAcentral.
AAUAAUAGUAUUUAGAUAUAUACUAAUUCUAAGAGAUUUAUUUUAUAUAUCUCGAUUAAUUAAUUUUAUAACCUCAUUAUAGCAAGUCUAAUUGGGUUAAGGAAAUAAAUGUGCAUGAGUAAGAAUUGUGUUUUAAAUGAGAAGAGAAAACCCUAAUUAAAUUAUUUGGGUUGGAUAAGAAUUUAAGGUAUUGGACUAUGUAUAUUUUAUAGCCCAAGUGUUGGCCCAAUGAAAUUGAUUAGAGGCCCAAGCAAUACAUUAAUUGAGUGGCCCAACUUUUAGCCCAAGUGGGAAGGAUAUGUUGGACAAUUAGUAAGUCAAUUAAGCAUUAAAGGAAAGCCCAAAAGAUUAUAAGUGAUGGCCCAAUUUUGAGCCCAAUUGAAGGAAGGGCAUGAUGGACAUUUGGUAUUAUUAAGAGUGUUGGACUAUGAUUGAUUUACAUGGCCCAAAGAAUUAAAUUCUUUAUGUCCAAUAGAUUAAUUUUGCAAGCCCAACUUAAAGUCCAAAGGGAUUAAAUAUGGUGGCCCAAACAUUAUUUAAAAAANNNNNNNNNNNNNNNNNNNNNNNNNNNNNNNNNNNNNNNNNNNNNNNNNNNNNNNNNNNNNNNNNNNNNNNNNNNNNNNNNNNNNNNNNNNNNNNNNNNNNNNNNNNNNNNNNNNNNNNNNNNNNNNNNNNNNNNNNNNNNNNNNNNNNNNNNNNNNNNNNNNNNNNNNNNNNNNNNNNNNNNNNNNNNNNNNNNNNNNNNNNNNNNNNNNNNNNNNNNNNNNNNNNNNNNNNNNNNNNNNNNNNNNNNNNNNNNNNNNNNNNNNNNNNNNNNNNNNNNNNNNNNNNNNNNNNNNNNNNNNNNNNNNAGUCAUAGAAUUGAAUCGUAAUAUAUACGAUGAGAUCACCCCGUGAUCUGUUAAGGUUAUGACAGCCAGAAAGAAUCAAUCUGAUGAUUGAAAAGUUUACAGCAAGAUGCUGUGUGACAAUUGUACUAUGAAAUUGUACUAUAAAAGCUCAUAAAAGAGUUAUGGAUUAUGAAUAUGGAUUAAAUGAAAUUCAUAUUGAGAAGGGUGUUAAGAUUAGGUGGGGAUUUCAAUUGAGGACUCAUGUCGGCAGCUGAGUUGUAUGAUUCCUUGUAUGGGCGGGGAAUUUGUACUUGGUUUUAGAAUCACUUAGCUUCCUGGUCGAUGUAGUGGUUAGGUUGACCAAUUCUUUGUAUGGGCGGGGAAUUGUCCGCUUAGCUUCCUAUAUUGAUUAGUAGCCGAGUUUGGUUUGACAACCACUUAGUUUCUGGCACUGAUAAUCAUUGAAAUGUUGUGCCGCGUUAUUGCUAUAUGCGUGUUAAGAGGGUGAUUCCUUUCUCAUGUGUAUAACAGAUAGAUAGGUUAUAGGUAGAGGAUACAAGGUUAAGUAUGAGUUCUUAAAACUCAUACUUAUGUUACGUUCGUGACUCAUGGUUAUAUGAAAUGUUUAUGAACCCCUCAGCGAAUGGACGCCAAAAGUAUAACUAGGACAAGUUCUUAAACUAAUAUGAUUGUGGAAAUUAAUGAACUCAUAAGUGUGGUUUUAUGAACUGGGUAUAGUUUGUGUGAAUGGAGCAUUAAGGAUUAUAGGAACAGAUAGAAUGUUUAAGCAAAUGAUUGUUAGUGGAGGCAUUAGGUUUUCCUAAACUCCUAGCUAUGCUAAACUUCAAAUUUUUGACAUCAAGCUAAAUACGCACUAUGUGCCUUUUAAAAAAAAUGUAGACUCGUAACCAUUUUUGAAACGGUUUAAAGUACAGUCUAUGCUACUUAUUUUGUCUAGACGCAAAGGAUUUGAAAUAUCAAAAUUUAUUUUUAAUUAUCACUCAUGUACCAUGUAACCUGGUGCCGAGAUGAUAAAAAUGUGAUAGAGUUAUAAAUACAGGAAUACUUAGUGUGAAUUUGACCUGAAGUCGCUGUUCCACUAUUGUAUGAUGUGUUAUGACCAGGUCAUACAAUGACGGCAUCCUCAAACGGACUGUUAAUAUAGUACGGCAUCAUGACGUCAUUCUCGAAAAUGUUUUCAAAAAGUUUAAUUUGCCAACGGGGUUUGGCUACACCUAAAUAAUUCGAUUGAACUGAAUUAUCGAUAUGAGCCUAUGCUAUAUGAUUCAGCUAGACUAAUGUUAUGAAAAUUCUAAAUAUUCAUUGAUAGAAAUUUCCCGAACCAAAUUGUUUUGGUGAGGAAUCCUAUGAUAAGACUGAGGUGAACAAUGUUGUUUGGAUAAAUAAUCCAAUCUGAUAGCGUAAAUAUUCGCUAAAAAUUAUUAAUACGUUAUGCACGACGUAAGAGUACGAUAGGCUAAUUACCUAAAGUACUAGCAUGGGUAGUUUACCUUCUUCGUGAUUGUAAACAUACUUAUUAAAGAAAUGUUUAAGAGGUAGAGUACCUUUCUUUCUUAAUUGAAAGAGGUAGCAGGUAGAAAUACCCCUAAACCUCGGAGUUCAAAGUUCAUAAUUUUUAUGAUCCCUCAGACAGAUAUGAAAAGUUUUUUUUAACUCUUCAAAGUAAUGUUGUGGUAGAAUGUGAUGAUGGAUAUGAAAUAGUGUAAACUCGUUGCGUACGAGUAGAAUCUGAGAUGAUUAAAUAAAGGUUAUUAUGACAACCUAGUUUUGAUGAAUGUUUAGAAGAUGUAAACUCCUAGUGAGUAGUUAUGGUGAAAUGUGAUAAUAGAUGAGAAAUCCUCGAAUGAGGAAAUUGUAAAGGUUAAAUUGAAAACCUAGUUUUGAUCAAGAGAAUGAGCAGAGGUUAGGAUGCUUUAAUUUCGAGGACGAAAUUCUUAGAAGAAGGGGUGAAUGUGACAACCCGAGAAAUUAGAAAAUUAUUAAAAUCUUAAAUGAUUGGUUUAAGGUCAAAUAAUAGACCUAGACAGAGAAUAAGUGUAUGUGUUUGAUGUUUUCAGAAAGGAAUUUUGAGGAUUUAAAAUUUCUUUUAGUGAAUUAUUCAGGAUUAAGGGUAUGUGUGUAUAUAUUCUGUGAUUACGGUAUUAUGUGUACAGAAUGUGGUUAAGGGUCAAGUGUUGACCAGAUAAAUUAUAUCUGUGUCAAACCCUAAUAUUAUUAGAACGUCAACGUUCAGUUAUAAAAUUAUUACGAUUUAUAAGAAACCCUAGAAAUCGGUUCUGGAAACCCUAAUUUCAGUACCGGGAAUCCGAAAUCCUAAUUCAGUAUUUGAAACCCUAAUUUGGGAAGUCAAAGGCUAAAUAUAAUGGCUUAAGUAUUUGUGAUUAUAUAUUAGGGAUAACCCUAAUUGUUAAAUUAGAAAUCCUAAUGUUUUGUAUAAAACCCUAAGGGAUUAAAAGUUAUGUGUGUAAUGAAUAUGAAUAUUAUGUGUUUGUUUGUUUAUUAUAUAAACAAAUAAAAUAAACUAAUGUAAUCCUAAUUAUAUAUUAAGAAUGAAUGAUUGAAUAACUUAAGAGUUAUGAGUUGGGGGAAAUAAUAGUAUUUAGAUAUAUACUAAUUCUAAGAGAUUUAUUUUAUAUAUCUCGAUUAAUUAAUUUUAUAACCUCAUUAUAGCAAGUCUAAUUGGGUUAAGGAAAUAAAUGUGCAUGAGUAAGAAUUUGUGUUUUAAAUGAGAAGAGAAAACCCUAAUUAAAUUAUUUGGGUUGGAUAAGAAUUUAAGGUAUUGGACUAUGUAUAUUUUAUAGCCCAAGUGUUGGCCCAAUGAAAUUGAUUAGAGGCCCAAGCAAUACAUUAAUUGAGUGGCCCAACUUUUAGCCCAAGUGGGAGGGAUAUGUUGGACAAUUAGUAAAUCAAUUAAGCAUUAAAGGAAAGCCCAAAAGAUUAUAAGUGAUGGCCCAAUUUUGAGCCCAAUUGAAGGAAGGGCAUGAUGGACAUUUGGUAUUAUUAAGAGUGUUGGACUAUGAUUGAUUUACAUGGCCCAAAGAAUUAAAUUCUUUAUGUCCAAUAGAUUAAUUUUGCAAGCCCAACUUAAAGUCCAAAGGGAUUAAAUAUGGUGGCCCAAACAUUAUUUAAAAAAGCCCAAAAUUUGAUCCAAGUAAGGAGGGGCAUUUUAGUCUUUGGAGACACUAGAUAUUCAUUAAAAAGGAAGCAAGACUUGGUGAAAUAAUGGGCCACUUGGCCGAAUUUUUGUGGGAGAAAAGGAGAGGAAGUGGUGGGUUACACAUCACCAUUAUAAUCACCACAUGUUCCAUAAGAUUUUUCAUAACUUAGCUAGGUGUCAUCCAUUUUAAGGAGCCACUUUGCUUUCAAUCUCCCACACAUGUAUGCAAUGAUUACUAAGAGAGAGAAUGAGUGGAGAAUGUAGAGAAGAAAGGCACAUGGCCGGUUGAGUAUGAGAGAAAAAGAGAGUGGGUUGGAUAAUUGAUAAAAAAAAAAAUCUAUCUCAUUUCUCUUUCAUCUCUUUUAUUCUUCCAAGUUAGCAAAGAACUAAAGAUAGAGCGAGAGAGAGAGGGUGGCCAUUUCGGCAGCUCCAAGAGAAGGGGGAGAGGGGAUUUUAACUUUCAUAAACCCAAGACCCUCAUCACAUCUUUGAAGGAGAGAAAGAAAAGCAAAGGUAUAAAAAUACUUUUCCUAAGUUUUUCUCUAUUUUAGUUUAUGGAUUUGAUUUAGGGGUUUUUGAUUUGGUAGUUCAAACCCUAAGAUCUAUGUGAUUUAUAUGAUUUCAAGUAUGGAUCUACCCAUAAUGGGUUUUGAUUUGGUUUGAAUCAAAAAGAAAAGAAAAAUAAUUUUUCUAGUUUUGAAAACCCUAACUUUUAGGUGUUUUGAAUGUUUACCGUUUCUGAUCUAGAGAUUCUUUUCUCGAUCCGUCUAAGAGUAGUGCUAGAUAUUUGUGUUUACUAGUUAACCCAAGUGGUAGAACUCAAAAAUCACGUUUCUAAAACUCGUGGUGUUGAUUUAUGUGAAAACAGUCCCAUUUCUAGGAACUGUUUUGGAUCAGUCCGUAGCAGGGGCAUUUUCGUACCCUUUUUGUGCUUUAUAAAUUCUGGAAAAUUUUGGAGUGUUAAUAUCAGUAGAUAUGCAGGUUGUGUAAAAAUUUGAGAAUUUUUGGCCUUACGGUUUGAGAGAUAUGGAUUUUACGGUGAAGGACCCCAAAACUGUUUUUGGCCAAAAAGUUGCUGCCCAGAUUUUUACGAGGGCUGUUUUGGCCACUUAAACUGUGAAAUAAAUUCCGGCCUUUUGGGAAAUGAAAAAAUAUGGUAUUAAGUACCUCAUGUCCAAAAAUGAGCUAAUUCCGACUUAAAAUGACCGAGUUAUGACCAUUUCAAUUUUUAUGAUUUUCUGACGAAAACGGCUAUAACCGGAGUUCUACAACUCCGAUUGCCACGAAAUUUAAACUGGAGUGUCACGUUAACAUGUGUAAGAUUGUGUCAGAAGACGGAAAUUUCUGGAGUUAAGCACAAGGUAGCUAAUUUCUUAAGGAAUUAACUAGAAAUGAUUUUUUUGAAAAAUACUAAAGAAACUUGGAAAAUUAUGGAAAAAUAAUUUUUGUGUAUGAAAUAUAUGUAUAUGUGUUUGACCAAAGGAUAGAAAAAUAAUAAGUUGAUUUGGUAUUUUUCGUGAAAAAGAAUAGUGAUUUCGGGAUACUGAAAUAAAAUCCGUCUUACUGAAAUGGUAUUUCGGUUUACUAAGAUGUUAUCUAAUUUACUAGGAUAACAUAUAAAAAUGAAUAACUUAUAAGUACAAGUUAUGAUGUGAUUAAAAGAAUAUCAAAGUAUAAUAAUAAUAUUAAGACUUAAACCUAAUGUCUAAUACUUAACUAUAUGUUAUGACUAACCGAAAGAUCUAUUAUAGGUUUUAUAUGCUGUAUAGACUGAUAGGAUUAUGUGUUAUGUGUUAUGUGUUUAGGUUAUUCUAUAACAGUAUUAUACUGUGAUGAUAUUAUUCUAAUAUUGGAGAUCUGUAUUAUUAAUAUUAGGUCUUCAGACGAAGCUUAUUAUAUUGCGUUACGGUAAUCAACGGUUCAGGCAAGUUUGUUAUUACUUAACUCUAUUAAGAGUAGUUUCAUUCAGAUAUGCUUAUGGUUAAUCAUUGCUGAUUGUCAUGGAUAAUUGUACUCUAUACAUCUUGCAUGUAUUCGUCAGGUAUGAAAGGCUGAUCACCUUCAUUAUCAGUUGGUCCAGAUAUAUUAUUGUUCAUGUUCAAUACUUGUUCAGUCAAAAUUUUGUUCAUGCUAAUUCACAAAUACAUUGUGAAGGAUAGCCAGUUUAUUAUUCAAACUCUUUCAAUCAUGAUAUAUCUUUACAUUGUUUUUAAACUUGCUGGGCAACUUUCAUGCUCACCCUUGCUAUAUCAUGAUAAAACAUUGCAGAUAAGGCGAAUACAGCCAGUUACAGGAAAAGGAAAAUGCCAAGUUCAGCUUGGGAUAGAAUGUGCAGCUAAUUUUUAAAAGUAUGGUUGAAGAAUAGUUUUGUCAUGUGUUAGAUAGUUUAUGAUUGUGUAUUAGUUAAGGUUACUCUAUUUUGGGGAAAUAGUGUAUAAAGUUUAAUGUAUAAACAAUUUAUGUUUAUAUCUUCCGCAAACAGUUAUAGAAUUAGCGAACCGGAUCCGCGGCGAUUCGGGGGCGCUACAA